RNAcentral lists this long non-coding RNA (421 nucleotides) under Homo sapiens (human). RNAcentral describes it as "BLTP3B divergent transcript (BLTP3B-DT)". Lineage: Eukaryota; Metazoa; Chordata; Mammalia; Primates; Hominidae. The record is from RNAcentral.
ACUCUCAAUACACCAUCCUUCUUGGCCUUAAUCCUCCCUCCUUCCCUCUGCUGGUGUUCCCGCCUCCAUCGCUGACCCGUCGCUGAUUUUUACUUCCACGUCCUACUUCCCUUAUUCAUUUCCUCAGAAUGUUUUUUAUUUUUUUGCUUGUUUGUUUUUUUUUUUGAGACAAGUCUUGCUCUGUCACACAGGCUGGAGUCCAGUGGUACGAUCUCGGCUCAUUGCAACCUCCACCUCCAGGGUUCAAGCGAUUCUCCUGCUUCAGCCUCCUGAGUAGCUGGGAUUACAGACCUCACUUUCCUUUUGCUGGCCAGAAAUCUGCUCCCAGCAUGUGGCUGUGCUGGAGUCUCUCUGAAUCUGCUGUGAUUAUGGGGGCUGCCAGACUCAGGAAUCGUUCAUUGUUAAACUCCUUUAAAUUUAA